UAAACCAUCCUUUCAAACUACUUUAAAUCACAAACAAAACUUGUGCCCUAUGGCACUACCGACGGGGCUCCGUUACCAGCCGCUCGGAUCCCAAUUCCGUCCUUACUCCACCUGUGAAUGAUGAGAAGUGAGUUCACAUAACUCAAUACGAUAAAAAUCAAGUUGUAAGUGUAAUAUGCAGUGACAAGAAUUUCCAGAAAUGUCUAUAUGCAUUUAUCCUACCCAACCCCAAACAACUCAUAACCCUCUCCCUACACUAAUUAUCAAGGUCCCAUUCCAAGGCAAUAGCACGGCCAAACAACCCCACCCACCCAACAAUCAUCCACUAACUCUCGUCACCAACAUCGGCGACUCAUACACUCUUCCCCCAUCUCCCGACCUCACGAGGCCACACACACACACACCCAACCACCUUCAUUCCACGUCACCAAUAUCGGCGACUCACACCUAUAUCUCCACCUCUCGACCUAAUAGGCCACGCACACACCCACACACCAUUAUUCCGCGUCACCAACAUCGGCGACUCACACUCACUCCUCCACCUCUCGACCUAAAGAGGCCACACACACACACAAAUACCAUCGUCUCGCGUCACCAACAUCGGCGACUCAUACUCACUCCACCUCUCGACCUAAAGAGGCCACACACACACACAAAUACCAUCCUCUCGCGUCACCAACAUCGGCGACUCAUACUCACUCCUCCAUCUCUCGACCUCGUUGGGCCACGCACACACACAAACAUUUCCACCUCCCGUCACCACCAUCCGUGACUCAUGCACCCUUCUACCCCUCUCGGCCUUGCUAGGCCACACUCACAUACAUAUCCCCUCCCUGCUCCACCAACAUCGGCAACUCAACCCGCCCCUACCAACGGCCUCCAAAUCUCCCCUCCCAAACCGCAUGCUCCCAUCUCCCCUUAUACCAUGCUAGUCCCAAACAUUCUAACUUGCUAACUCCUACUGACCACAUUACUCCUCUUCUCCCAUCCAAUCCCCCUCAAAUCCUGCUUCCUAGUCCCCUCUGCCGUACCUUCCAGCUCCCUUCCCUCUCCCACUGCCCCCUACCCGCUACCUCCCCCAUCCUCCUGCCUCCUCCCGGUUCCUAUACACUUUUGCCUACCUAGGGCGAUUAACCUCUCAGCUUGCACCGUUUCACGCCACAUACACGCCCUCACCACCGUGCAUUUCGGGGAAACACAUCACCGCCUAUUAGCGGCUCCCUCCACAUCCCCACCCACGCACACACCACACACACACCUCUUCUGUCCUCUUCGAGUUUUUAUCCCACCCGCGCCCCCUAGAUUGUUCUCUCACAUCCUCCUCACUCUGUUCUACCCGUACCACCCCCAUCCUUCCCCACGGCUCCCCACACGCCUCCCACACCGCCAUACUUUCCCUUCCUUCCCCGAUCACCUCCGUGAGCGCACGGGACAACCCCACGCUUACGGCCUGCCUUCACUGCUCCACUCCGCCGCGCCAUUGCCGACGCCGCAACCUGCAACCAAAUUUCUCUACACACACACACCACACCAAACAACUCAAAUUUUCACCGUACCUCCCGUUUCCAUCUUCCUUCUUCCUGCCGGUCGCGUCGUCCGUCCACGGCCUCCUUCCCUCUCCCUUCUCGCUCCCCUCCGCCCCGACUCUCUCCUCUCUCCUUCUGGAACUUUCCUCUUCUUCUUCGUCUCCGCUGUCCUCCUUCCCUCCUUUUCUCUUUUUCUCUUUUUCCUUUUCUUUCUUUUUUUUUUUUUCUUUUCUCCUUUUUUCCUUCUCCCUUUCCCGACCUCCUUUUAUACUCUGCC
Molecule: long non-coding RNA, 1803 nt
Filed under: Carica papaya (papaya)
Lineage: Eukaryota; Viridiplantae; Streptophyta; Magnoliopsida; Brassicales; Caricaceae
Description: long non-coding RNA (CPAP_LNC004270)
Source: RNAcentral